RNAcentral lists this long non-coding RNA (532 nucleotides) under Capsella rubella. RNAcentral describes it as "long non-coding RNA (CRUB_LNC001935)". Lineage: Eukaryota; Viridiplantae; Streptophyta; Magnoliopsida; Brassicales; Brassicaceae. The record is from RNAcentral.
UAGAUUUCGCGAUUGUGUUUAUUAUUUUCAUCCUAUCAAGUCCCGUGUUUGCACGCGCUCCAUACAACACAGCAAACUGCAGGAAUGGUAAAAGAGAGGUAAACAUUUCGGAAUCUAGGAAAGAGUACGCAAAAUGAUCCUUAUAGUAGGUAUUAUUACUUUCCGGGGGUUACUGGUCUCAACGGGGAAGUACUGUUCUACAAGAGGCUUGAUGGCUCUCGAAAUUUCUUCCUCUGAAGGGUAACACGAUACUUCAAUUGGUAGAAGUCUUAGGAUGAACCUAAGCAACACAAGUUAUAUUAACAAUGAACCCAAUAAUGAGAUAAUAGUAAUAGAAUUCUUGGUAUGAUGGAGUUUUUUGAGUAAGAUCAAACCUUGACAUAUGCUUUUUUGUUGCAGCAGCAGAUGUCAUUGCAUGCUGUGCAAUAUCUUUGGGACUAGGGUCACCAUCUCUCCUUUUCAUUUGGAUGAAUACCAGACCGUUGCAACCCGGAUCUAACUUCAUAAACCGUCUCUGCCAAAAAUGGAUAAC